Molecule: ribosomal RNA, 1467 nt
Filed under: Polykrikos geminatum
Lineage: Eukaryota; Dinophyceae; Gymnodiniales; Gymnodiniaceae
Description: eukaryotic LSU rRNA
Rfam family: Eukaryotic large subunit ribosomal RNA (bases 598-1467)
Source: RNAcentral
GUCGUAACAAGGUUUCCGUAGGUGAACCUGCGGAAGGAUCAUUCGCACAUCUUGAUAUAAACUACUGUGAAUCGUUCUGUGGUUAAUUGCAUUCAGAUCCUUUGGAGAUGUGUGUGAUUGAUCGCGGGUGGUGGGGCGAGUUUCUCGUCCUGCCGCUACACUGCCUACUGCAUGGCGCGUUUGUGUCAUCAACUGCUCUUGGCUAUUGCCAUUGAUUAUUUACAACUUUCAGCGAUGGAUGUCUCGGCUCGAACAACGAUGAAGGGCGCAGCGAAGUGCGAUAAGCAUUGUGAAUUGCAGAAUUCCGUGAACCGAUAGGAACUUGAACGCAUAUUGUGCUUUCGGGAUAUCCCUGAAAGCAUGCCUGCUUCAGUGUCUAUGCUUUGUUAUUCCAGCAGUCUUGCCAUAGUGCCAGCUGCUCUGAGUUCUCGUGCCUCAGGAUGCGCAUGCUCUUUGUUGGGCAAUGGUGCUCUUGAGGCAUUUGAUUUACAAGGUGCGAUUGUGCCGCCAGCUUACUGAGCAUUAAUAUGUGCAGAUGGCUGUGUGCGUGCAUUUGUGUCUUGUUUUAAUUUGCUGUGGCAUUGCGUCCAGCUUUCACGACAUGAAGUUAGGUUGGCUUACCCGCUGAAUUUAAGCAUAUAAGUAAGCGGAGGACAAGAAACUAAAUAGGAUUCCCUCAGUAAUGGCGAAUGAACAGGGAAAAGCUCAACAUGGAAAUUGUGGCCUCUGGCCUUGAAUUGUAAUCUCAAGAUGUAUUGCUAAUGGGGGUGCAGAUGUAAGCCUCUUGGAAAAGAGAAUCAUUGAGGGUGAGAGUCCCGUUUGUCAUCUGCAGUCCUCCGUGUACGGCAUACGUUCUAAGAGUCACGUUCCUCGGGAUUGGAGCGCAAACUGGGUGGUAAAUUUCAUCUCAAGCUAAAUAUGAGUUCGAGACCGAUAGCAAACAAGUACCAUGAGGGAAAGAUGAAAAGGACUUUGAAAAGAGAGUUAAAAGUGCCUGAACUUGCUGAAAGGAAAGCGGAUGGAACCAGUGUUGCUUGGUGAGAUUGUUGCGCGGUAAGGUGAGUUCCUGCGAUUGCAGCGCAAGCGUAAUUGCGGGUUUUGAUCUGGACGUGCGUAGUGUUUCUUGCCUUGUGUGUCAUCAACAGUGUAUGGGUGAGGACAACUCUUGGGACAUGGUAGCCUGCCUCCGGGUGUGUGAACGUGCCUUGCAGAACUCACCUGCAUACUGUUAUUUUUGUGUGGACCUCUUGGGUCCUUCACAACUUGAUGACAAAAUGGUUUUAUUCGACCCGUCUUGAAACACGGACCAAGGAGUCUAACAUAUUUGCGAGUUCUUGGGUGGAGAAACCUACGUGCGCAAUGAAAGUGACUACUGAGAUGCUAGCAUCAGAAGCCGACUGAUCAAUUGGGAGAGGUUUGAGCAUGAGCAUAUCUGUUAGGACCCGAAAGAUGGUGAACUAUGCGUGA